Molecule: ribosomal RNA, 734 nt
Filed under: Agrococcus jenensis
Lineage: Bacteria; Bacillati; Actinomycetota; Actinomycetes; Micrococcales; Microbacteriaceae
Description: bacterial SSU rRNA
Rfam family: Bacterial small subunit ribosomal RNA
Source: RNAcentral
GGAUUAGUGGGAACGGGUGAGUAAUACGUGAGCAAUGUGCCCUUGACUCUGGGAUAAGCGCUGGAAACGGCGUCUAAUACCGGAUACGACCCUCGGAGGCAUCUCCUGAGGGUGGAAAGAACUUCGGUCAAGGAUCAGCUCACGGCCUAUCAGCUUGUUGGUGAGGUAACGGCUCACCAAGGCGACGACGGGUAGCCGGCCUGAGAGGGUGACCGGCCACACUGGGACUGAGACACGGCCCAGACUCCUACGGGAGGCAGCAGUGGGGAAUAUUGCACAAUGGGCGCAAGCCUGAUGCAGCAACGCCGCGUGAGGGACGACGGCCUUCGGGUUGUAAACCUCUUUUAGCAGGGAAGAAGCGAAAGUGACGGUACCUGCAGAAAAAGCACCGGCUAACUACGUGCCAGCAGCCGCGGUAAUACGUAGGGUGCAAGCGUUGUCCGGAAUUAUUGGGCGUAAAGAGCUCGUAGGCGGUCUGUCACGUCUGCUGUGAAAACCCGAGGCUCAACCUCGGGCUUGCAGUGGGUACGGGCAGACUAGAGUGCGGUAGGGGAGAUUGGAAUUCCUGGUGUAGCGGUGGAAUGCGCAGAUAUCAGGAGGAACACCGAUGGCGAAGGCAGAUCUCUGGGCCGUAACUGACGCUGAGGAGCGAAAGCAUGGGGAGCAAACAGGCUUAGAUACCCUGGUAGUCCAUGCCCGUAAACGUUGGGAACUAGAUGUGGGGACCAUUCCAC